This 76-nucleotide transfer RNA is filed under the name Bdellovibrio sp. RNAcentral describes it as "tRNA-Val". It matches the Rfam family "tRNA". Rfam says of the family: Transfer RNA (tRNA) molecules are approximately 80 nucleotides in length. The record is from RNAcentral. Lineage: Bacteria; Pseudomonadati; Bdellovibrionota; Bdellovibrionia; Bdellovibrionales; Pseudobdellovibrionaceae.
CGGCCUUUAGCGCAGUUGGUAGCGCAUUUCCAUGACAUGGAAGUGGUCGCAGGUUCGAGUCCUGCAAGGCCGACCA